GAGUGUGUUAUAGUCUUUUGUCAUAUCCAGCGCUCGGGACUGAGGAACUCUGCACGAUCUACUUUUGUGCAUAGGUUGCUGGCAUAAUGGCCUUAAGCGACCCGUCUUGAAACACGGACCAAGGAGUCUAACAUGCCUGCGAGUGUUUGGGUGAUAAACUCGAGUGCGAAAUGAAAGUGAAAGUUGACACCUCUGUCAUGGAGGGCAUCGACGCCCGGACCAAAGUCUACUGACAAUGGAUCUGAGGUAGAGCAUGCAUGUUGGGACCCGAAAGAUGGUGAACUAUGCCUGAAUAGGGUGAAGCCAGAGGAAACUCUGGUGGAGGCUCGUAGCGAUUCUGACGUGCAAAUCGAUCGUCAAA
Molecule: ribosomal RNA, 361 nt
Filed under: Austroboletus niveus
Lineage: Eukaryota; Fungi; Basidiomycota; Agaricomycetes; Boletales; Boletaceae
Description: partial large subunit ribosomal RNA
Rfam family: Eukaryotic large subunit ribosomal RNA
Source: RNAcentral